GUGUCAGCAGCCGCGGUAAUACGGAGGGUGCGAGCGUUGUCCGGAAUCACUGGGCGUAAAGGGCGCGUAGGCGGUCUGGUAAGCGUGCGGUGAAAGCCCGGGGCUCAACCCCGGGUCGGCCGUGCGGACUGCGAGACUGGAGCACUGUAGAGGCAGAUGGAAUUCCGGGUGUAGCGGUGGAAUGCGUAGAGAUCCGGAAGAACACCGGUGGCGAAGGCGGUCUGCUGGGCAGUGGCUGACGCUGAUGCGCGACAGCGUGGGGAGCAAACAGGAUUAGAAACCCUAGUAGUCC
This 292-nucleotide ribosomal RNA is filed under the name uncultured bacterium. Its description in RNAcentral is "partial 16S ribosomal RNA". It matches the Rfam family "Bacterial small subunit ribosomal RNA", at positions 505 to 796 of the family's 1533-position model. The record is from RNAcentral.